RNAcentral lists this ribosomal RNA (410 nucleotides) under uncultured microorganism. RNAcentral's name for it is "bacterial SSU rRNA". It matches the Rfam family "Bacterial small subunit ribosomal RNA", at positions 509 to 917 of the family's 1533-position model. The record is from RNAcentral.
CAGCCGCCGCGGUAAUACGUAGGGGGCGAGCGUUGUCCGGAAUUAUUGGGCGUAAAGCGCGCGCAGGCGGUCCUUUAAGUCUGAUGUGAAAGCCCACGGCUCAACCGUGGAGGGUCAUUGGAAACUGGGGGACUUGAGUGCAGGAGAGGAGAGCGGAAUUCCACGUGUAGCGGUGAAAUGCGUAGAGAUGUGGAGGAACACCAGUGGCGAAGGCGGCUCUCUGGCCUGUAACUGACGCUGAGGCGCGAAAGCGUGGGGAGCAAACAGGAUUAGAUACCCUGGUAGUCCACGCCGUAAACGAUGAGUGCUAAGUGUUAGAGGGGUCACACCCUUUAGUGCUGCAGCUAACGCGAUAAGCGCUCCGCCUGGGGAGUACGGCCGCAAGGCUGAAACUUAAAGGAAUUGGCGGG